AGGCCUUGUUUAGAUCAAAAGUUUUGGAUUUCGACACUAUAGUACUUUCGUUUUUUAUUUGACAACAUUGUCUAGUUAUAAAGUAACUAGGCUUAAAAGAUUCAUCUUGCGAUUUACAGAACUGUAUAAUUAGUUUUUGUUUUUAUCUAUAUUUAAUGCUCUAUGCAUGUGCUACAAGAUUCGAUGUGACAGAAAAUGUUGAAAAGUUUUUGUUUUUUGGGUGAACUAAACAAGGCCCGAGUACCUGGGCCGUGUUUAGUUUGUGAAGCAAAAAAGAUCAUGACACUAUAGUAUUUUCGUUUGUUUGUGGUAAUUAUUAAACAAACAUGAACUAACUAGGUUCAAAAGAUUUGUCUCGUAAAUUCUAACCAAACUGUGAAAUUAGGCCUAAUCUUUUAGACGCAUGCAUGGAGU
RNAcentral lists this long non-coding RNA (414 nucleotides) under Sorghum bicolor (sorghum). RNAcentral's name for it is "long non-coding RNA (SBIC_LNC000048)". The record is from RNAcentral. Lineage: Eukaryota; Viridiplantae; Streptophyta; Magnoliopsida; Poales; Poaceae.